This 1917-nucleotide long non-coding RNA is filed under the name Heterocephalus glaber (naked mole-rat). RNAcentral's name for it is "lncRNA (ENSHGLG00000038618.1)". The record is from RNAcentral. Lineage: Eukaryota; Metazoa; Chordata; Mammalia; Rodentia; Bathyergidae.
GUGAGGGGUAAAUGAACUGGAUGGGAGCGGAGGAGCUGCCAAGCACAAGGGUCCUGCUUUUACAAUGGAAGGUGCUCCAGAAGCCACGUGAUCUAGCUAGACGCAAAGGGGUCCUUGCAUUACAAAUGGAAACACUCAGACAUCCUGAGCAAUAUUUUGAAAGAGGGAUCAUGGGGAUGAGGCAGAAUUUUUGAUGAGAAAAGGGGUGGGAGGAGGAAGAACUUCAGGGUUGCUGCAAAUGUGCAGUGUCUGCACUCAACGGCAAAUGAAACUGACCGUAGACUAUGAAGACCAAGCAGUGGGUGCUCCUGUGAAUAUCUGGAAAUCUUCUCACGGUGGGAUCGCUGGUCACUGGAACUUACUAUAAUGAAAAUUGUUUCCUGAAGUGGUACAACUUACGCAGGGGAGGUGGCUUGUCACCUGGUGAUUCCCUUUUCAGCACGUUGACACACAAAGCAAAAGAUAGCUUUUAAAGACGCCAUCACCCCCAAGUUAAUGAAGAUUAUUAUGUCUGAUUGUAUGGACAAGAAUUAUCACCAUUAUCAUGUCUGAACAUGUGGACAAUUGUUUUCGUCUUGGUGCAAGAUCUGCUUGAAGAGCGCGUUCUCCUUGGGCGGGAGGCUCACGGCCCGCAUCAUUCCGGCUCCUCCGCUGGUCCCGCCACCACCUGGUUCGGACAGUCUGUUUGUCCGACCGCCGCCACUGCCGUCCCGGGCUCCUUCAGCCUUGAAUACCCCGAUCUACCGCCACCACCACGCCUCAUGUGUCACCAUGUCGCCUUUCCCGGACACCCCCUUCUCCUUCUUGUCUUUUUUCCUUUCUCAACGCUGCCGCCCCCCACGAGUCUCUGUCGGCGGUUCACGUGGCAACUGAACAGUCAUAGCUUCUAUUUCUUAUCCUGCUGUUAUCUGUUGGUGGGUUUGGGCAAGGUGCUGAACAUCUAACCUCUAUUCUUUAUCACUAUUUGGGAACAGUUGGGGAACUCCACUGCAACGGAUAAUCCCUGGGAACUCUGUGGAUCUGUAAAUACAGGUUAGAGGCAAGAGAAACCAGUAGGAGGUGCUGAGCAGAACCAGGCUGAGGGUGCUGGCUCUGAGCUCUGCUCUGAAAGACCUGUCACUUGGGCAGGUCGCUGAGAGCUCUGUACACUCAUAUUUUCCUGUCUGUCCUGGCUUCAAAGUCUCAGUAAGCUACUUGCUUCCAAGACACGUAAGACUCCCUAAAAAGAGGACCCACAAAAGUACCUUCGUCAACUGGCACUUUUCAAACUUUGUAUGUUCUCACUGCCUUCAGUGUGCAACUGAGUUGACCGACGUCAGUUGUGUUACUGCACAUUCAACUCUUAGGCAGGAGAAGACUGAAGAAGGUCCGCCAGGUAAAAACUAAAGGAAAGCAGAAGUUUUAUAAACAUUGCUUUCUGGAUACCUGGAUGUGUGACAUAGACUGAAAUAUCAUGGGAGGAAAAAGCAAUGAGUGGCCCAAAGCUGUAUCUACAGAGAGGAACUUAGAAUUUACUCUGAUCAUUUUAUUUUAGAUGGAUAAACUAUAUUUUCAAAGUUCAAAAUGGAAUUUUUAAGAAAAUUGACGAAGUAGCCCAAUGCAAAUUCCAUUUUUUCUGGAUGUCUCUUCAGUGCUAAAUUGUGCCCUAAAGUCUUGGUUUACCCAUCUUGUAAAAAAAAAAAAAUCUGAGUCCUCUUUCCAGUGAUUUCUCUUAGGAAUAAGAGGGGAGAAGGAUCUAUUAUGAGUAAUUGGAGAACUGAAAGCAAAAUGAUUUUAAAAUAUGAAAGGAGCUACUGAUAACAUUUUGGAUCAUUCUUAUCAACUAUUCAUAGGACAUAAAUUAUAAAUAUAUAUCAUGGAAAGUAGUGUAUAUCAGAACAUAAAUGCACAGCAUAUAUUGUCAAUAUGCUUUUUUUU